Molecule: long non-coding RNA, 985 nt
Filed under: Homo sapiens (human)
Lineage: Eukaryota; Metazoa; Chordata; Mammalia; Primates; Hominidae
Description: HSALNT0129450
Source: RNAcentral
CAACGAUUUCCAUUCAGCUCAACCAGUCACAAGGAAUCAGCUUAGAAAAUGGAAAAGCCUCGAUGUUCCAGCCAGAGCCUCACCCUCAUCCCCCUCCUUUUCUGCCCCCUCGAACCUGGUUUCCAGAAAGUGCUCUUCUGCUACACCCUGAUGGGCUGUCCUCCCCUUGGUUUCCUGAGUGCUGUGGGGGAUCAUUAACUCCUCUGCAGCUACCGAAACUUAUGAAACAUUUCCUGCAACCGAAUGCACCUUGGUUCCCUGCAGGACAGGCUGGAGCGGGAGUCUGUUUUAGAGGAGCAGGCACGUAGGAGCUGGAGGCCCCUCCCUCCUGAGGGCUGCCUGGGUAGUCCCAGGACCCGCCCUUGGUGCAGAGUCCUGCCUAGAGAAAUUAAUCUCUGGCUCCUGAGGCAGCUUCACUUUUUUUUUUUUUUUUUUUUUGGUGUUCCCUGUCCUGCUUCCCCAGAGGAAGCCAGAAGAAGACCCCAGUUGCCAUGAACUCCGCCGUCACUAGCCGUGAGCACUCCACUUACUCGAGGAGUGAUGUCGUGCUCAGCUCCCAACCUAUGGCCAAGGCAGGAGGACAGAUAGGCAGCCCGGGAGUCCCGCAGCAGCUGCCUGGCCUAUGACAUCUUGGACAUCCUGCCAUGUUAUCUCUGUAUCUUCUUGGGGAUUCAGCACUUCCUCACAGCCCUGGGGGGCCUCAUGGCGGUGCCAUUCAUCCUGGCCAAGGACCUGUGCCUGCAGCAGGACCCCCUGACACAGAGCUACCUCAUCAGCACCAUUUUCUUUGCUCCAGCAUCUGCAUGCUCCUGCAAGUGUUUUUAGGGGUCAGGGUUAAAACAAGAGAAACGCAGGGGUGCAUCCAAGCCGCAGGAACACGAACCAGGGACUCAAAUGCUGCCGGGAUCUUCUCUGUCUCUUGACUCUGCUCAAGCCUGCCCCUAAUAUUUGCAAGACCCUCGGUACAAGUACAAAUGGAGACCCA